AGCGGCGGACGGGUGAGUAACGCGUGGGUAACCUGCCUCAUACAGGGGGAUAACAGUUAGAAAUGACUGCUAAUACCGCAUAAGACCACAGCACCGCAUGGUGCGGGGGUAAAAACUCCGGUGGUAUGAGAUGGACCCGCGUCUGAUUAGCUAGUUGGUAAGGUAACGGCUUACCAAGGCGACGAUCAGUAGCCGACCUGAGAGGGCGACCGGCCACAUUGGGACUGAGACACGGCCCAA
This 240-nucleotide ribosomal RNA is filed under the name uncultured bacterium. RNAcentral's name for it is "partial 16S ribosomal RNA". It matches the Rfam family "Bacterial small subunit ribosomal RNA", at positions 94 to 334 of the family's 1533-position model. The record is from RNAcentral.